UACGUAGGUGGCAAGCGUUAUCCGGAAUUAGUGGGCGUAAAGCGCGCGUAGGCGGUUUUUUAAGUCUGAUGUGAAAGCCCACGGCUCAACCGUGGAGGGUCAUUGGAAACUGGAAAACUUGAGUGCAGAAGAGGAAAGUGGAAUUCCAUGUGUAGCGGUGAAAUGCGCAGAGAUAUGGAGGAACACCAGUGGCGAAGGCGACUUUCUGGUCUGUAACUGACGCUGAUGUGCGAAAGCGUGGGGAUCAAACAGGAUUAGAUA
Molecule: ribosomal RNA, 261 nt
Filed under: uncultured Staphylococcus sp.
Lineage: Bacteria; Bacillati; Bacillota; Bacilli; Caryophanales; Staphylococcaceae
Description: partial 16S ribosomal RNA
Rfam family: Bacterial small subunit ribosomal RNA
Source: RNAcentral